RNAcentral lists this ribosomal RNA (468 nucleotides) under uncultured bacterium. RNAcentral describes it as "partial 16S ribosomal RNA". It matches the Rfam family "Bacterial small subunit ribosomal RNA", at positions 28 to 507 of the family's 1533-position model. The record is from RNAcentral.
GACGAACGCUGGCGGCGUGCUUAACACAUGCAAGUCGAACGGAAAGGCCCUGCUUUUGUGGGGUGCUCGAGUGGCGAACGGGUGAGUAACACGUGAGUAACCUGCCCUUGACUUUGGGAUAACUUCAGGAAACUGGGGCUCAUACCGGAUAGGAGCUCCUGCUGCAUGGUGGGGGUUGGAAAGUUUCGGCGGUUGGGGAUGGACUCGCGGCUUAUCAGCUUGUUGGUGGGGUAGUGGCUUACCAAGGCUUUGCCGGGUAGCCGGCCUGAGAGGGUGACCGGCCACAUUGGGACUGAGAUACGGCCCAGACUCCUACGGGAGGCAGCAGUGGGGAAUAUUGCACAAUGGGCGGAAGCCUGAUGCAGCAACGCCGCGUGCGGGAUGACGGCCUUCGGGUUGUAAACCGCUUUCGCCUGUGACGAAGCGUGAGUGACGGUAAUGGGUAAAGAAGCACCGGCUAACUACGUG